GGUGUCGGAGACGUUCCACUUCUCCACCAUCGGCAGAGCGCUGGAGUCCCGGAGCCUGCCGACUAGCGACGCGGGUCGAUUAGCCUGCCUCCUAUGGCGGCACGGCCUGCCGUACAGCUGGCUGCUCUACCUGGUCUGGUGGCGCUUGUAGAGCCAGACCGCGGCGGCGGCGGGCCGGCUGUCUCGCUCCUCUCUCUCCGGCGGCCGGCGGGUCUGAUGGAGUGGUCACUCAGACGCGCCCGCCUCUGUCCCGGAGGCGGACCGUCGCCGACGACGACCGACGACGUCUCAGACUUUUUCAUGGCCGUUCGGGCGGCCGCGGCUGCCCCCCGUUUUACAGCACUGUGUUAGCGGCCGCGGCGCCGCUGCCGAUGUCGGUAAUACAGCCCCGCUGGGGCAGGGAGGCAUACGGGCGGGCGCUACGUCCGAGUGACUGCGAACGCUCAGAGCGCGGGGGUCAAGAGGAACAGUCGGUGGUCAGGGAGAAUGUGCAGGGCCAGGGGCCAUGGGCCAUGACAUAAGGCUCAGCAGGGGACGAUCAGGACCGCGUGCGACAGUCCUAAACAGUGUGGCCCAUCGCUUAGGUUGUUUAGUUUGGAGUUAUAUUUUCGUUCUAGAUUGAGAUGUCUUUAUUGCGUGUCCACGAACGAUUUUCGUGUCUCACAGUGGAUCUCAUGAUGUGAGUGUAAUUGGGAAGGGCCCACGGGAAUGAUCCUCAGGUCUCGCUGCGCGGACUGAGCCGGGGGUCCAUGGUGAGCUGACUGACAGCUGUGGGGAUCAUCAGCAGGGACCUGACGAUGGCUCACCGAGUGGGGAUGGGCCCGUUGGACAAGCCAGUGGUAAACUGACGGACCUUUGUCUACUGAGCUGGUUCAAUGAAUUAUCCAGGGCUCGCCGGAUGAGCAAUGGACUACCAGACGGACUAAGGGUCAGUGGAUUUGUUACCGUACGGACCUGUAUUCACCGGUGUCUAUGUUCCUGGGCUGGUGAGGCGGGUCUCAGCUCACAGGACUUGGCUCGCCAUCGGGAUGUGACGUGUGUCUCAGUGCCUUUGUGAAUAUAUCUAGAAUCUCUUCACUGUGCGCGCCGCGUGACUCGGGUGAGUCAGGCUGAGUCAAUCACUCUGUGAGUCUGAUUCAGAGAGCUACGCUAAUACUUGUAAUGUAGAUGUUCUUAAUAAAUGUGAAGAAAUACACCAAUGUGAGAUUAAUGUGAAAUUGUAUGUGUUUAUUAUCGCA
This is a long non-coding RNA of Amphibalanus amphitrite, 1238 nucleotides long. RefSeq lists it as uncharacterized. NCBI's taxonomy places the organism in Eukaryota, Metazoa, Arthropoda, Thecostraca, Balanomorpha, Balanidae. The record is from RefSeq and is a predicted model, not a curated record. The transcript is spliced from 3 exons.